CCCGUAGGGUGCGAGCGUUGUCCGGAAUUAUUGGGCGUAAAGAGCUCGUAGGCGGUGUGUCGCGUCGGCCGUGAAAACCUGCAGCUUAACUGUGGGCUUGCGGUCGAUACGGGCAUCACUGGAGUUCGGCAGGGGAGACUGGAAUUCCUGGUGUAGCGGUGAAAUGCGCAGAUAUCAGGAGGAACACCGGUGGCGAAGGCGGGUCUCUGGGCCGAUACUGACGCUGAGGAGCGAAAGCGUGGGGAGCGAACAGG
Molecule: ribosomal RNA, 254 nt
Filed under: uncultured bacterium
Lineage: Bacteria
Description: partial 16S ribosomal RNA
Rfam family: Bacterial small subunit ribosomal RNA
Source: RNAcentral